RNAcentral lists this ribosomal RNA (301 nucleotides) under uncultured bacterium. Its description in RNAcentral is "partial 16S ribosomal RNA". It matches the Rfam family "Bacterial small subunit ribosomal RNA", at positions 509 to 807 of the family's 1533-position model. The record is from RNAcentral.
CAGUCGCCGCGGUAAUACGAAGGGGGCUAGCGUUGCUCGGAAUUACUGGGCGUAAAGGGAGCGUAGGCGGACAUUUAAGUCAGGGGUGAAAUCCCAGAGCUCAACUCUGGAACUGCCUUUGAUACUGGGUGUCUUGAGUGUGAUAGAGGUAUGUGGAACACCGAGUGUAGAGGUGAAAUUCGUAGAUAUUCGGAAGAACACCAGUGGCGAAGGCGACAUACUGGAUCAUUACUGACGCUGAGGCUCGAAAGCGUGGGGAGCAAACAGGAUUAGAUACCCGCGUAGUCCCUGUCUCUUAUAC